Molecule: ribosomal RNA, 365 nt
Filed under: Polychrus femoralis
Lineage: Eukaryota; Metazoa; Chordata; Lepidosauria; Squamata; Polychrotidae
Description: partial 16S ribosomal RNA
Rfam family: Bacterial large subunit ribosomal RNA
Source: RNAcentral
CCGUGCAAAGGUAGCGUAAUCACUUGUCCUCUAAAUAAGGACCAGUAUGAACGGCUAAAUGAGGAUUAAACUGUCUCCUACGACAAAUCAGUGAAACUGAUCUCCCCGUCCAAAAGCGGGGAUAAACACAUAAGACGAGAAGACCCUGUGGAGCUUAAAAUUAAAGCCACCCACACCCUGCCCCCCCCCCACAUCUAUGGCCUACAAUUUUAAGUUGGGGCGACUUCGGAAACAAGAAAAACUUCCGAGCAUAAGAACAACCAUCAUACCAAGGCUAACACGCCUAAGCAAAAACUGACCCAGUCAUACUGACCAACGAACCAAGUUACCCCAGGGAUAACAGCGCCAUCUUCUUCAAGAGUCCA